Molecule: ribosomal RNA, 156 nt
Filed under: Vibrio parahaemolyticus
Lineage: Bacteria; Pseudomonadati; Pseudomonadota; Gammaproteobacteria; Vibrionales; Vibrionaceae
Description: partial 23S ribosomal RNA
Rfam family: Bacterial large subunit ribosomal RNA
Source: RNAcentral
GUUGUAUGGUUAAGUGACUAAGCGUACACGGUGGAUGCCUUGGCAGUCAGAGGCGAUGAAAGACGUAGUAACUUGCGAUAAGCCCAGAUUAGGUAGUAACAACCAUUUGAGUCUGGGAUUUCUGAAUGGGGAAACCCACUUACAUAAGUAAGUAUC